AUUGAACGCUGGCGGAAUGCUUUACACAUGCAAGUCGAGCGGCAGCGCGGCCUUCGGGCUGGCGGCGAGCGGCGAACGGGUGAGUAAUGCAUCGGAACAUGCCCAGUCGUGGGGGAUAACACUUCGAAAGAAGUGCUAAUACCGCAUACGUCCUGAGGGGGAAAGCGGGGGAUCGCAAGACCUCGCGCGAUUGGAGUGGCCGAUGUCAGAUUAGCUAGUUGGUGGGGUAAAGGCCUACCAAGGCGACGAUCUGUAGCUGGUCUGAGAGGAUGAUCAGCCACACUGGGACUGAGACACGGCCCAGACUCCUACGGGAGGCAGCAGUGGGGAAUUUUGGACAAUGGGGGCAACCCUGAUCCAGCCAUUCCGCGUGAGUGAAGAAGGCCUUCGGGUUGUAAAGCUCUUUCGGCAGGAACGAAACGGUGGGCUCUAGCAUAGUCCGCUAAUGACGGUACCUGAAGAAGAAGCACCGGCUAACUACGUG
RNAcentral lists this ribosomal RNA (484 nucleotides) under uncultured bacterium. RNAcentral describes it as "partial 16S ribosomal RNA". It matches the Rfam family "Bacterial small subunit ribosomal RNA", at positions 29 to 507 of the family's 1533-position model. The record is from RNAcentral.